This 442-nucleotide ribosomal RNA is filed under the name uncultured bacterium. RNAcentral describes it as "bacterial SSU rRNA". It matches the Rfam family "Bacterial small subunit ribosomal RNA", at positions 29 to 479 of the family's 1533-position model. The record is from RNAcentral.
AUUAAACGCUGGCGGCAUGCCUUACACAUGCAGGUCGAACGGCAGCACGGGGGCAACCCUGGUGGCGAGUGACGGACGGGUGAGUAAAGCAUCGGAACGUAUCCUGGAGUGGGGGAUAACGUAGCGAAAGUUACGCUAAUACCGCAUAUUCUGUGAGCAGGAAAGCAGGGGAUCGCAAGACCUUGCGCUCUGGGAGCGGCCGAUGUCGGAUUAGCUAGUUGGUGGGGUAAAGGCCUACCAAGGCGACGAUCCGUAGCGGGUCUGAGAGGAUGAUCCGCCACACUGGGACUGAGACACGGCCCAGACUCCUACGGGAGGCAGCAGUGGGGGAAUUUUGGACAAUGGGCGCAAGCCUGAUCCAGCAAUGCCGCGUGAGUGAAGAAGGCCUUCGGGUUGGUUAAAGGACGUCUUUCUAGCAGGAAGAAGCGAAAGUGACGGUACC